Long non-coding RNA from Hyla sarda, 333 nucleotides. RefSeq lists it as uncharacterized. Lineage: Eukaryota; Metazoa; Chordata; Amphibia; Anura; Hylidae. The record is from RefSeq and is a predicted model, not a curated record. The transcript has 3 exons.
UGGAGGGCUACAGUUUAGAGACCACUGUAUAGUAGUCUCAAACUGUAGCCCUCCAGAUGUUGCUAGGCAACUCACCGGCUUCCGUAGUCUGCACCAGGGAGCCAGCCCCAUGUCAUCGGCAGCCGCUGCCGCCGAUGGACAUUGCAUGUACCCUGAAGAAGCUCCUGUCCUCUACAUAGAAAGUGAUUUACAGCUCCCAGCAUCUCUUUCUUACUUUUACAUGUUCAAGUCUACAUUUCGAGCGAAAAUCUGACAUCUUGUGGCAAGAAAAAAGACUGCAGUAACAAAAAUGACGAGUAGGACAAACGGAGUUAAAAUAAAACAAUAAAAAUA